RNAcentral lists this ribosomal RNA (656 nucleotides) under uncultured bacterium. RNAcentral's name for it is "bacterial SSU rRNA". It matches the Rfam family "Bacterial small subunit ribosomal RNA", at positions 139 to 813 of the family's 1533-position model. The record is from RNAcentral.
GGGGAUAACAGUUAGAAAUGACUGCUAAUACCGCAUAAGCGCACGGAGCCGCAUGGCUCAGUGUGAAAAACUGAGGUGGUAUAGGAUGGACCCGCGUCUGAUUAGCUAGUUGGUGAGGUAACGGCUCACCAAGGCGACGAUCAGUAGCCGGCCUGAGAGGGCGACCGGCCACAUUGGGACUGAGACACGGCCCAAACUCCUACGGGAGGCAGCAGUGGGGAAUAUUGCACAAUGGGGGAAACCCUGAUGCAGCGACGCCGCGUGAGUGACGAAGUAUUUCGGUAUGUAAAGCCCUAUCAGCAGGGAAGAAAAUGACGGUACCUGACUAAGAAGCCCCGGCCAACUACGUGCCAGCAGCCGCGGUAAUACGUAGGGGGCAAGCGUUAUCCGGAUUUACUGGGUGUAAAGGGAGCGUAGGUGGCAUGGUAAGCCAGAAGUGAAAACCCAGGGCUCAACUCUGGGAUUGCUUUUGGAACUAUCAGGCUGGAGUGCUGGAGGGGUAAGCGGAAUUCCUAGUGUAGCGGUGAAAUGCGUAGAUAUUAGGAGGAACACCGGUGGCGAAGGCGGCUUACUGGACAGAAACUGACACUGAGGCUCGAAAGCGUGGGGAGCAAACAGGAUUAGAUACCCUGGUAGUCCACGCCGUAAACGAUGAA